ACGGAUGCGAAUAUCGAGAUGCGGUUUUCGCCAAAGUAUUUCUAAUUUUUGAAGUAUGGAUGAGUUCGAAGAUGGGCAUUGUAGGUAUUAAGGUCACGGCGCCAUGGCGACGACGCCGUGUCGAAUAGGUGUCGAAUUUUUUGUUUCGACGGUUUUAGACGUAUUUUGGGAUGGGGAUUUCGAAAAUCGACAUCAUUUUGACGAACGAUGACCGUGUGACCGUGUAGACGACGCCACUUGAAUUAUGCCAUGUGGGGUGUCUAUCGAAAGGUAUAGUCGUGUACGUUCAAAGUACGCGGGAGUUAUGUCGAAACGGGGCGAAAUGAGACGUGGGGUAAUGUGAGAUAAUUGGGGAAAAUGACGGGAAGGUAUUGGAAGACGAUGUGGGUGUGCCACAAGGACAUUUACGUGUGUUUUCACCCAUUUGCUACAUUUCGUUUGCAACGGUUUAUUCAUUAAAAAAAUGAAUUAACGGAUUUGAUUGUCUUUUAAAAAUGUACGGAUCAUUAUCCGAUCCGAUCGGAUAUCCGUCGGAUUACUCGGAUUCGGAUCGGAUCGGCCCUAAUAUCCGAUCGGAUUAUCCGACAUGAUGAAAUAUCCGAUCCGAUGGACUGUCUAUCCGAUCCGAUCCGAUCCGAUCCGAUGGACUGUCUAUCCGAUCCGAUGGACUGUCUAUCCGAUCCGAUCCGAUCCGAUCCGUCGGAUAACCAACCCUAGUCUUGAUCUUGACUGUUCUUAACUAUUACAUAUUUACAUAAGAUUUUAGAAUUACACAGGUAAACAUGUGAGAAAUUAUUUUAAGAUAGUUCUUGAAACUCAUGGUACUAUUUUAGUUCAGGACCACGUCCCACUAGGGGCUUUGAAUAUUUCAAAAAUGAGUUUUUUUACAUAGUGUCAAGUUGACACUGUCAACCCAUAUGGAGAGUUUUCCGAAGUUGCACCUACUAAUAAAAAUUUGUUCCGCUGUUGGGAGCACAAUUUUAAAUUUUAGUUAACAUGUAUUAAAAUUAACUUUCAGCUAUCAGCUAAAUAUGAUGAAAUUUCGUAAUAAUUUCAAAUUUGUAACAUUUUCUAAGUCAGCUGAUUUGUGGCCUCAAGCAACAAAAUUGAACUAUCCAUUAUGGGGUGUGUGGCAUGUUUAGGCACCAAUUACAUUAAAUAGCUAAGGGUUGGAUAAUAAACAUAUGCAAACUGUUUCGAACGUCCUUCACUGUUCGUGCUACUGCAGUGAUUUGUAUCGACCUGUCCAAAACCUUAGUGUACGCUCUUUAUUUAUAAUUAUAUAAAUUAUUAUAAAAUAAUUUAAUAUAUUGAUUUGUGAUCUCUGUAACCAUGCAUGUGCAUAGUCAGCAAACAAUUUUACACAUCCCACAAUUGAAUUUACGUGAUAUGAUUUCUAGUUUAUCGAUAAUACUUUGCCUGACGAAGAACAACGACUGUACUAUCCUUUUACUUAGGCGUGUCACCUCAUUUGCAUAAAUCUCACUAUGCCCAUUUUCGGCGAUACGGGCUUUCCAUGUUGAAUAAACUCUAUGUCUCUCGCGAAUGUGUCAAAAUAUGCAAAUAAGGUGACCGGCUAUAAUAAAUCCACAAUAUGUGUUCGAUAGUUUGCAAGAUAAUAAAUAUUAUCAAUUAAUAUGUCCUCCAACAACGAUUUAAAUCAUUCAAAUUUAAUAUAGUAUUUUUUAACCAAAAUCCGGAUCAAGGCUGAGCAUAAAAUUGCGAAAUAAAGAAGUGGAGA
Folsomia candida is the source of this 1741-nucleotide long non-coding RNA. RefSeq lists it as uncharacterized. Lineage: Eukaryota; Metazoa; Arthropoda; Collembola; Entomobryomorpha; Isotomidae. The record is from RefSeq and is a predicted model, not a curated record. The transcript has 2 exons.